AUAUCACUACCCAGUUCCGCAUCAUUUCCUAAAAUGAUGAUCUCAUUAUUAACUAUUCUCGCAAAACCGCUCCACAGAACCGUUGUUAACCAUUGGUCGUUGAGGAGGAGUAUUCUCAAAGGACCCAUAUCUACUGCUGUGUUAAUGGGGGCGUGGUUUGGUAAUACGCCAAUUUGGCCACUAUGAGUGGAUAAAAUGAUUUCUUUCACCGAAGUAAAGGCCAAACACUUCGGCCUAAGGGGAAUGAGCAACAAAAUGACAAGAUGA
This 267-nucleotide ribosomal RNA is filed under the name Triticum aestivum (bread wheat). RNAcentral describes it as "partial small subunit ribosomal RNA". The record is from RNAcentral. Lineage: Eukaryota; Viridiplantae; Streptophyta; Magnoliopsida; Poales; Poaceae.